GAUGAACGCUGGCGGCGUGCUUAACACAUGCAAGUCGAACGAACCUUCGGGUUAGUAGCGGACGGGUGAGUAACGCGUGAGAAUCUGCCCUCAGGAGGGGGAUAACAGCUGGAAACGGCUGCUAAUACCCCAUAUGCCGCGAGGUGAAAUGAAUUUCGCCUGAGGAUGAGCUCGCGUCUGAUUAGCUAGUUGGUGUAGGUAAUGGCUCACCAAGGCAUCGAUCAGUAGCUGGUCUGAGAGGAUGAUCAGCCACACUGGGACUGAGACACGGCCCAGACUCCUACGGGAGGCAGCAGUGGGGAAUUUUCCGCAAUGGGCGAAAGCCUGACGGAGCAACGCCGCGUGAGGGAUGAAGGCCUCUGGGCUGUAAACCUCUUUUAUCAAGGAAGAAGAUCCGACGGUACUUGAUGAAUAAGCCACGGCUAAUUCCGUGCC
This 435-nucleotide ribosomal RNA is filed under the name uncultured cyanobacterium. RNAcentral's name for it is "bacterial SSU rRNA". It matches the Rfam family "Bacterial small subunit ribosomal RNA", at positions 28 to 509 of the family's 1533-position model. Lineage: Bacteria; Bacillati; Cyanobacteriota. The record is from RNAcentral.